Molecule: ribosomal RNA, 459 nt
Filed under: uncultured bacterium
Lineage: Bacteria
Description: partial 16S ribosomal RNA
Rfam family: Bacterial small subunit ribosomal RNA
Source: RNAcentral
CCUACGGGAGGCAGCAGUGAGGAAUAUUGGUCAAUGGCCGAGAGGCUGAACCAGCCAAGUCGCGUGAGGGAAGACGGCCCUACGGGUUGUAAACCUCUUUUGUCGGGGAGCAAAGCGAGUCACGUGUGACUCAUUGAGAGUACCCGAAGAAAAAGGAUCGGCAAACUCCGUUCCAGCAGCCGCGGUAAUACGGGGGAUGCGAGCGGUAUCCGGAUUUAUUGGGUUUAAAGGGUGCGUAGGCGGAGGGGAAAGUUAGGGGUCAAAUUGCGGGGCUCAACCCCGUACUGCCGUUGAAACUGGCUCCCUUGAGUGGAAGAGAAGUAUGCGGAAUGCGUGGUGUAGCGGUGAAAUGCAUAGAGAUCACGCAGAACCCCGAUUGCGAAGGCAGCAUACCGGCGCGCAACUGACGCUGAUGCACGAAAGCGUGGGGAUCGAACAGGAUUAGAUACCCUUGUAGUC